CAUGCUUAGACGAGUUUGAUCAUGGCUCAGAAUGAACGUUGGCGGCGUGGAUUAGGCAUGCAAGUCGUGCGAGAAGCUCUUUCGGGAGCGGACAGCGGCGAAAGGGAGAGGAAUACGUAGAAAUCUACCCUCGGGUCUGGGGAUAGCGUCGGGAAACUGGCGGUAAUACCAGAUAACGUCUUCGGACCAAAGGUGUGAUUCCACCUGAGGAUGAGUCUACGUCCUAUUAGCUAGUUGGCGGGGUAAUGGCCCACCAAGGCAACGAUGGGUAGCGGGUGUGAGAGCAUGAUCCGCCUCACUGGGACUGAGAACUGCCCAGACACCUACGGGUGGCUGCAGUCGAGAAUCUUUGUCAAUGGACGAAAGUCUGAACAAGCGACGCCGCGUGCGGGAUGAAGGCCCUCGGGUUGUAAACCGCUGUCGUAGGGGAGCAAAUGGUUUGGGGUACUCCCCUUUCCUUGAGCGAUCCUAGGAGGAAGGACGGGCUAAGUUCGUG
Molecule: ribosomal RNA, 496 nt
Filed under: uncultured bacterium
Lineage: Bacteria
Description: bacterial SSU rRNA
Rfam family: Bacterial small subunit ribosomal RNA
Source: RNAcentral